CAAGUUCGAAGCUGAUGAGCAGAAGGACCCACUGGACGCGCCCGAGAAGGAAGCUGACUCGGAGUGUACUGCAUGAGAUGCUAAGUUGAAGGAAGGAAUGGACAUCAGUCAGUUAUUAUUUGGAUAAAAUCCAUGAUGUCCUGAUGGGGAGCAUGUGGAAACGACGCCCUCUGGCUGAUACAGAUAAGCAUCUUAUCUCAGGCCAAGAAAAGAAAAGAGUUAUCCCAGCGGAUUAGGAAGGAUAAGGUAGAUUAUGGCGGCAAGAAGGUGCUUUCUGUUAGCUUGGGGUUGGGGAUCAUGCCUAGGCCUGGUGUUAAUAAUGGUAAAUAAAAGAGAGAUUAGUUUGUUUAUUGUGGUCUGGUAGUUCAGACAGUCGGCUGGAUCUCAGUCAGGUCAUCGUUAACAAUGGAUAUGCUUCCUUAUCA
Molecule: long non-coding RNA, 425 nt
Organism: Sorghum bicolor (sorghum)
Lineage: Eukaryota; Viridiplantae; Streptophyta; Magnoliopsida; Poales; Poaceae
Exons: 2
Source: RefSeq, a predicted model, not a curated record